This 334-nucleotide ribosomal RNA is filed under the name uncultured bacterium. Its description in RNAcentral is "bacterial SSU rRNA". It matches the Rfam family "Bacterial small subunit ribosomal RNA", at positions 8 to 334 of the family's 1533-position model. The record is from RNAcentral.
AGGGUUUGAUUAUGGCUCAGGAUGAACGCUAGCUACAGGCUUAACACAUGCAAGUCGAGGGGCAGCAUGAUUGAAGCUUGCUUCAAUCGAUGGCGACCGGCGCACGGGUGAGUAACACGUAUCCAACCUGCCGAUAACUCGGGGAUAGCCUUUCGAAAGAAAGAUUAAUACCCGAUAGUAUAGUAUUUCCGCAUGGUUUCACUAUUAAAGAAUUUCGGUUAUCGAUGGGGAUGCGUUCCAUUAGAUAGUUGGCGGGGUAACGGCCCACCAAGUCAACGAUGGAUAGGGGUUCUGAGAGGAAGGUCCCCCACAUUGGAACUGAGACACGGUCCAA